This 66-nucleotide transfer RNA is filed under the name Apodemus mystacinus (broad-toothed field mouse). Its description in RNAcentral is "tRNA-Pro". It matches the Rfam family "tRNA". Rfam says of the family: Transfer RNA (tRNA) molecules are approximately 80 nucleotides in length. The record is from RNAcentral. Lineage: Eukaryota; Metazoa; Chordata; Mammalia; Rodentia; Muridae.
CAAGAAGUAGUUUAAUUAGAAUAUCAGCUUUGGGAGUUGAUGGUAGGGAGAUUUCCUUCUUCUUGA